GGGCGGUUGGUGUAGUGGCUAACAUACUCGCCUUCCAAGCGGGUGACACGGGUUCGAUUCCCGUACCGCUCA
Molecule: transfer RNA, 72 nt
Organism: Millerozyma farinosa CBS 7064
Lineage: Eukaryota; Fungi; Ascomycota; Pichiomycetes; Serinales; Debaryomycetaceae
Rfam family: tRNA
About the family: Transfer RNA (tRNA) molecules are approximately 80 nucleotides in length. Their secondary structure includes four short double-helical elements and three loops (D, anti-codon, and T loops).
Source: Rfam